Molecule: long non-coding RNA, 7208 nt
Filed under: Sus scrofa (pig)
Lineage: Eukaryota; Metazoa; Chordata; Mammalia; Artiodactyla; Suidae
Description: lncRNA (ENSSSCG00005039757.1)
Source: RNAcentral
CCGCAACCUCAUGGUUCCUAGUCUGAUAUGUUAACCACUGAGCCAUGACGGGAACUCCUCUCUCUCUCCCCAAGAUUUUAAAUGCCUUCUCAUGCUCAAGCAAGAUGACCUUGGAGUUCCCAUGUGAUGCAGCAGGUUAAGGACCUGGCAUUGUCAUUUCAGUGGCUAGGGUUCAAUCCCUGGCUCGGGAAUUUUUACAUACUGCAGGUGCAGCCCUCAACCUCCGCCCCCCCCAAAAAAAGGUAAUCGUAUAUACCUCUUGCUUUAUAGAAUUAUGAAGAUUUGAAAAGUCUCUAUGAAGUGUUGAUUGGUGUAGUGGAGUGCAAUGGCAACAGAAUGAAACAUCUCAGUCCAAGUACCUGAAAUCUCAUCUACCAUCCUCAUGACCUUGAAAAGUCUUUUAAUCUUAGUUUCCUCAUCUAUACAACCAUGGUCAUAGUACUCUAGUGUCAAUAUCCUCCCUCAAUCUGUGUGAAAAACAUUUUUCUUUUCAUAUCUUACUCUAAAUUCUUCUUCUUUUUGAAAUAUUUUCCUGUUCAUCCAAUCCAGCUUUAGCAACCUGUCCCUGCUCCCCAUCUACACUUUGUAUAGACAAUUUACAGUAUUAAAUUACUUUAGCUCCCAUAAGAAGGGACCAUCUAGAAGCUUCUAGAAGACAAGGAUGGUGUUUUUCAUAUUUCUUAUACCUGGAACCUAGCUCAAUGCCUGACCUAUCAGUACUCAAUAAGUAUAUGAACAAGUAAAUGCAAAUGAAAGAAUGAAUGAAUGAAUGAAUGCUUUACCCACGUAACCAAGUGACUGUAACUUGUGCAUUGAUAUGCAUGAAAGAGAAAUGCUAUACAGACAUAAAUUAUUAUAUUCCAGUGCACAGAAGUCACAGAACUGUGUCCAGUUUAUCAUCUUCACUCAUAAAGAAAUAUAGAAAAUACUAGUUGAUUUUUGAAGAGCUAUUUUAACUGAAGUGUUUAAAAAAUAUUCUGAGAACCAUCAUUGAAACUUAUGAACUCUACAAAGACACACAACUGACUGAACAAAGUAGGAAUCCAGACAGAAGGGAUAAUAAAACAUUUGUCAGGGAGACAGAAGCCAUGUUUAUGGCAAGCAAUCCUCGGGUUUGAAAUACAGUCUCACUGUCUACUCAAAAACUCAGCAAAUGGGUAAAUGAUGUGAAAGGACCAGCAUGUCCUCCAGCUACAAGUGAGGCAACUAGACUAUCUGUUGAACACACAUUUAUGAAUAGCACGGCUGCCAAGUCUUUUGAGAAAAUUUAUCUGUUUCUUUUGUGCAAAAAUGUAUAACCAAAUGAUCGCCUCUUUUGAUUUUGGCCUACCUUUUUGUUUUUGGUUUACAUACACAGGCUAAUUUACGCUUUUUAUUUAACAAAAGAGAAAAACUCUAGACAAACUACAUCACAUCAAUAUUUCCAUCAAUGGUAACCGUAGAAACAACAUCCUAUUUUUCCUUAAGAUCACUUAAAAAUCUCUUUUCAAAACAGAGCACAAAGAAAUGUAUGAGGAAGGAGCUUAAUUGGCUCCAUGGAUUGGAUUUGGGCUGUAGAACAUUUCGCCUCCAAGUCAGCAGUUCAAAUCCAGCCUGGAGUGAAGAGGAUAAAAAUAUUUCCAGGUGUUGGGUGCUUCAAUCAAGUUUAAGCCCUGAUGUAGCUCCCAGAGGCAAGGGAUCAGCAAUGUAUUUUAGCAUCUUGUUCACAGCCCUGAAGCAAAAACAAUGUCUACAAACCCAGGAGACUAAACCAGCUCUUUAUCCCAACAUCCUGCAGCAUUAUUUAGGCUUCACUCGGUGUCCUAUUGGCCUCUCUCCCGAGGUACCAAGAAGAUUUUCACUUAACUUGGCUUCCAAACACUUAAAUCGUUAUCUCCCACCACUGGGGUGCUGGAAGACAAAGCUGAAAAUUUAAAAAGAAAAAGCUAUUCAAUGUUUUCCUUCUCAAAAAGCAAGAUGACUCAGAAAGAACAAGGUGGGGAAAAGAAAGUUAAAUUUGAAAUUACAAACUUUCACAUACAUGGCCAAGAAUACAAAUAAUUUAUUAUCAAGGAAAUUUAUACAAUAAUUUUCCUGAUAAACUUUAAGAUGUUGCCCAGGGAGAAUAUUCACCCUAUUAUGAAUGUAAUGGAGUUCCCAUAAAUAUGAUACAUGACCUCCUAACUUGCAUACCAAAUUAGAUGCUGGAGACAUUGCUAAAUCACAAACACCUGUUUCUGAAUUUCUGUAAAUACAUCAGGAAUAGAAUUGAAGUGAUCACCAGCAAUAGUAAAUCAUAUAAACCUCAAGCCAGACCUACCUUAUGGGUGAACAGAUACAUCACCAAGCAAAUUAAAAUCUUGAUAUAUUACCACUGUUAAAAUUUGCCAAACACAAUUACACAGACCCUUACAUUUCCAGUAUCACCUCAUGCAAUUCCUAAUGUUUUAUUCAGUUCCAUUUACUGAGACAACCUUAUCACUUAACAAAAGUGAUAUAAAGGAAUGGUGGUCCGGCUAUGGUUUGAUCAAAUGGAAAAACUCCUCAGUUGCAAAUCCACAAUUACUCAGAGCCCCCACCCUGACUCUGCCAUCAACAUGUGGCAUAAACUUGAGCAAGAAAUGUCAACUAUCACUUUUAUCUCUUCAUCAGCAGAAUAAGGGUACAAAAGGGAAAUAAUGAGGCAUUCUGGAAGGUUCCUUCUAGCUCUACAUUCUAGAAAAUGUGAAAUUGGCUUUUAAGAGCCUCUUUAAAAAAUUAGUUAUGUAGGAGUUCCCACUGUGGUUCAGUAAUAACGAACCUGGCUAGUAUGCAUGAGGAUGAGGAUUCAAUCCCUGGUCUCACUCGGUUGGUUAAGGAUCCAGCUUUGCUGUGGCUGUGGUGUAGGCCGGCAGCUGCAGCUCUGAUUCAGUCCCUAGCCUGAGAACUUCCAUAUGCUAUGGGCGUGGUCCUAAAAAGACAAAAAACAAACAAAAAAUGGUUAUUGUAUAUUAGCUCUAUAAGGCUUUAAGUAAGAGAUAUUAAAAUGCUAUUUUCAUGCAUUAAUUUUUUUUUGUCUUUUUGCCAUUUCUUGGGCUGCUCCCGAAGCAUAUGGAGGUUCCCAGGCUAGGGGUCUAAUCAGAGCUGUAGCUGCCAGCCUACGCCACAGCUCAUGGCAACACCGGAUCCUUAACCCACCAAGUGAGGCCAGGGACUGAACCUGCAACCUCAUGGUUCCCAGCUGGAUUCGUUAACCACUGAGCUAUGACGGGAACUCCUAAUUUUUUAUUUUAAAAGAGUAAACAGUAUAUAUUAACUGCCAAGUAAUAUCUAGGAAUAUUUUUUCCUUCAAUUUUCUAGUCUGCCUUUAUUCCAGGCAUGAUACUGUAAAUUAAAAUAUGAUGGAGUCCAAGAAUAUUGCUUAAUCACAAUCUAAACAAAAACAUCAAAAAUCUAAACAAAACAACCCUUGCUCCAAGUUGUCACAUCACCUGAUUCACAUUUCCUAAUUCCCUCGUUUACUCAGCCAAUCAACUAGUGUUGAUUCAGUACUCAGUAUAUGCUACACACACUGUCAGAUGCCAGAGUUAUAAAGAAAAACAAGCUGCUGUCCCAAGGAGCUUACCAUCUCCUGAACAGUUUGAAAGAAAAUAAAAAAUAAUCUGUCAACUUAGUUAUCCCUAAGGAGGACCAAUUCAUACAACUCAAUUCAGUAAAUCAGAAAUAAGUGAUAAUUAUUCAUAAGUUUUUUUUUCUAAGUCAAUUAUCAUUUAUUCUGUGCUAACUUGGUGUCAGGAAUCAUGGACACAAGUAUUGUCCACCUUAUGUAGAUAUGUGGUGUCUCCAUAGCAAGUGUCUUUGGACUUAUUCUAAAACCACUUUAUGGUCACUCAUCUUUUUAUUUUUUACCCCACCUUCACCUAUGUUAUCUUGUGGGUAUUUCAUGUAACAUUUCAGUCUGAUUGAAAUCAUUUCUAUAAAAAGGCAGUAUGUAAAUAAAUAAAUCUAGACACGGCCAAAUUUAUACAAAUGUUUAAUUCCAGAAGGCUUUGCACAACUUGAAUUUUUCAUAAGUCAAAAAAUCAUCUCCCUAGAGUUCCCACUGUGACUCAGCAGGCACUAACCCGAAUACACAUCCAUAAGGAUGCCAGUUUGAUCCCUGUCCUCACUCAGUGGGUUAAGAAUCCAGUGUUGCCUUGAGCUGUGGUGUAGGUUACAGACUCAACUCAGAUCCCGUGUUGCUAUGGCUGUGGCAUAGGCCAGUAGCUACAGCUUCAAUUCAAACCCUAGCCAAGGAACUUCCAUAUGCCAUGGGUGAGGCCCUAAUAAGAUCAAAAAAAAAGUAUCUUCCUUUCUUUAAAAACUUAAUUUUCUAUUUGAAAUCAAUCUUCUUAUGCUAAGGAACUCUCCUUGCACUUGGUCCUUCCUCUGUCAUGGUUAAAAUGAGAAAAAAAAAGAGGGGAAAGUAAUUACCCAGCUAAAACUACAGUGACAUGAGCUAAUUCAGACAGUCUGCACUGAACUGGAAACAAGAGGAGAUUUGAAGCAAAAGCCAAAGCUGCCACUGCCAACUUUAUGCAAUCACUUGGACAUAGUCCCUACACUUGUGUUUCCAAUCAUAAACCAACAUUUUUUCAUCUCUUAAAAUGCGAUAAUGUCCUUUAUAGUAAUGCAGGGAGGUGCUGCCAGAAACUCUCAGGCCCCUGCCUUUCGUGACCUCAUUUCACAUUCUCAUGACCUGGGCUCACACAAGGAUUACUCAAGUGCCUUGAGUAGACAAUAAGCAAUGAGCUCCUGGGACAAGGAAUGUGCCUAUGCACACUGUAACCUUCCAAGACCUAGGACAGUGCUUGGUGUACACUCGAUGCUUGAUCAGUGUUCAGGAUUAAGAAACAAUAUGGCUCCAUGUGACAGCUCAGUCAAUCAGAAGGCCCCAAUGACCAUAACAGGAAUAGACUAGAGAAUAAGAAAUUUUUGUUCCAUGUUUUAUUACGUGUAGAUCAGUUUUAUUACUAAGGAAUGCUUUGCUGGUCAACUAAUGCUUGUCUGAAAGUGUAUUUCCUUGGACCAAAAAGAUUCUAAUUUCUCUGAGCAAGUUCAAUGAAUGCUGCAAAGAUAAUGAAGUUAUCAUAAACUGGUUCUAGAUUUCACCCUUUCUAUAAAGUUAAUAAUACUAAAAUAAGCCUGGAUGGAGAAGAAGGGGCAGGGGGUAGGGAUGAAAAGGAAUGUUUUCUAUUUCUGUAACUGUUGCAUCAUCCAAACAAGUUAUUAUAAUGCUUAUCCUUAACUUGAUCACUUAUUAUUGCCUAUGAAAAUUUUCAAAGGUAUAAAUUUCCAUUUAAAAAUGUCAUUUGAUUCAGUAUGACCACCAUCUGUGGAGAUUUAAGACUUAUAUAUAGACUACUCACACGCUUCAAAAACAUCGAUAAAAUAAUUUUUAAGUGCUGAUUACAAUACAGCUUAAUGAUUCAAAAUAAAACUGUAUUAAUAAUGAAAAGCUCUGAUGGAACUGAGUGUGGAGCAAAGACCUAAGGAAGCAUUAAGGUUAAAUCAAGAGUAAAAUCAAUUCUUUUGCAGCUGGGAUGACCAUUACCCAGCAAAAGGGAAGUCCAAUCACCUAGCCCAAGUCCACCGGAUGAAGAGCAAGCUAUUGUUGAUGAAGACGUCUGAGUAAAGCCAGUAGCCUGGCUGACCCUACUAUUAGGUUUUAAAUACUUGGUACCAGCCUUCCUGUGGCCUAAGAGUUGAUGCAUGGUAUUUAGUGAAGUUUAACUAGCUUACAUUCUGUAUUUUAUGGGAGUAUGGAGUCAUUAUAGUCAAAUAGAGGAGACCAAGAAUUUUUUGCUCAGUCUAAGGUUCACUGUCCAGCCAGUCAAAACUUCUGGACCAUUCUAUCCAGAUCUAACUGAAUAUUCUGGAGAUUGGGGGAAGUAGGGACAAUAGGGCAAUAAGAUCAUUGUUUCCAACAUAGACCAGAUUAAAGAAUGAGUAUCUUUUUAUUUUUCUCCUUCUGACUUACUUAGUAUGAGAAUCUCUAGUUAUAUCCAUGCUGCUGCACAGAAACAGACUCAUGGACAUGGAGAAUCGACUUGUGCUUAGACGUAGGGGGGAGGGAGUGGAAUGGACUGGGAGCCUGGGGUUGAUAGAUGCAAACUAUUACAUUUAGAAUGGAUAAGCAAUGAGGUCUUACUGUACAGCACAGGGGACUAUAUCCAAUUUCUUGGGGUCAAACAUGAUGGAAGACAGUAUGAGGAAAAUAAAGUAUGUAUGUGUAUGACUGGAUCACUAUGCUAUACAGCAGAAAUGGACACAACACUGUAAAUCAACUAUAAUAAGAAUGUUCAAAAAAUGCAAUAAAACCCCACUCCCCAUUUGUGGCGGGGGUGGGGAGAGAACCAAUGUGAAGCCAAAGCCUGCUGGCCUGCUCUUGAAAUAUUUUAUUGUUAGGCUUAGAGGGAUGGUCUAAGAAGUAAUAGGAAGCGCCAUAAGCAAUCAGGAUGCUUCUUAAGGACAUACUUAUGAAAAUGCAGCCUACUCUGAGCCAAUUAUAAUAAAAAUGACACCAUGGUUUUUAAUCUGUUAUGUUACACUUCAAUCCCCUUCAAGGAGAUUAACGCAAAGCCUCUGGCCAAGACAAGAAUUACCAGACCCUUAUCAUCGUCCCACAGGUCUCAUUGUAAUGCCCCUUCCCCACCUUGAGCAACCCACAGGGGCUAGCAGAACUAACAUCAAGGGAUUCUCCAGGGAAUUUCCCUAUAACCUGUCCCCCAUGCAAAUAAGUUAUCCUGCCUGAGACCAAUCAGAUCAAAUAUGCCCCAUACAAAGACCUUGCUUACGCAGGCUCAGUGGCCUGGGGCAGGAAAAAUCAGGUCCCCACUCCCGGUCUGCAGCAUAGGGAUAUAAAAAUUCAACUGUAAAGGGGGGAGGAGUCCCUCUCAUGGUGUGGACUGCUCUCUCUGGAAAGGUACUUUUGCUUUAAUAAAUUUGUCUGCAACGCCCCACCAUUUCAAUUCUUUGCUGUGGCAGGCAGGGACUGAGGGAAAACUGGAGCCCUGUCAGACUUACUCAAGCUUUUCUUGUCUCCUAACUCUCUCACAUAAAUGAGAGAGAAUCUUAUGUGUACACUUUUGUUAAAAAAGGAAACAGAAAAAGUGGUUUUUUUUUCCUAAAUGUUUUACAUAAAUACUUUAUCCUGUCACAGGCAUGUCUUUGUCCAAUAACUUUUCUUUUUUUUUUUUUUUUUUUUUUUU